GCAUUGGGAGGGCAGCACUGCUCACCCAGCACCUCAGACAGGAAUUCAAACGUGGGCGCCUAAUGAACGCUAAUGAGCAGAAGGUGUUGGCAUCAGGACUGCCAGUUGAGCUUUGUUCCAAGCCCUUCCUCCUGGCAGAACUUAAGACUUGGCAGUGCCACUAACAGGGCUUUCCAGACUGGUCCACUGGCAUUCAGCAAGAGAUGGCUCAGCAGUUAAGAGCACCGGCUGCUCUUCCAGAGGACCCAGGUUCAAUUCCCGGAACCCACAUGGCGGCUCACAACUGUAACUCCGGUUCCAGAGUAUCUAACACCCUCAUUCAGACGUACGAAACACCAAUGCACAUGAGAUACAAAUAAAACCAAAUCAUUAAAAGGG
Molecule: long non-coding RNA, 378 nt
Filed under: Rattus norvegicus (Norway rat)
Lineage: Eukaryota; Metazoa; Chordata; Mammalia; Rodentia; Muridae
Description: long non-coding RNA NONRATT029059
Source: RNAcentral